RNAcentral lists this long non-coding RNA (3263 nucleotides) under Homo sapiens (human). RNAcentral's name for it is "non-protein coding LINC00683:9". Lineage: Eukaryota; Metazoa; Chordata; Mammalia; Primates; Hominidae. The record is from RNAcentral.
GAGGAGCUCGCGGGCUUUCCGGCGGGCUGGCCUGAAGUGGAAGGGCCCAGGGCUGCCUGCCACCCUCAGAUGCCACGCAGGUGUUGGGAGGGCACCCGUCUGUGGGCUCAGGGACGUGUUCCCACCGACAGGCACAGAACGGAAAGCACCUUGGGGGAGACGCCCUUCUCCCCAUCUCAGGAGGGAGGCCGGGCCUGCAGACCUCCAGCCCUUCCCCAGCGCUCGCUGUGAGCUCCCCCCCCCCACCCGCCCCCCACGUGCUGGGGAGCAGGUCCGUUUCCCCACCAGUUUGCCUCUGGUCUUUGUGUUUGCUCUGAGGCCAGGCGCGCCCCCUGCUGCAGGCCUGGGCUCCUGUGUGGAGUUCUCCUUUCAGAUGUUGCUAAAAUGUCUUGAAAGGCUGCGGCCACACCAACAGACGUCGUCCGGCCUUCUUCACACGCAACGAAGCGCCCAGGUGGAAAUGCAUGUACCCGCGGCAGCUUCUCGGCAGCGGGCUUCCUGGGACGGAAGACACAGGCUCGCCCGAGGGAGACGGAAGCAGGGGAUCUGCUAGAACUCAGCUCGCCUCCUCCUUUCUCAGCAGGGCAGAGAAUCAUGGGCUUGUGCUGACGAAAGCUCCAGAAAAUGGACUCAUUUAACCUUUCCAAAGAUAUUAUCCAAGCUGCAAAAUCUUGGCAAUCUGAAGACCUUUUAAGUCGAUAUACCAAAGAGCUUUAGUCAGGAUUGAAUGCAAAAUGCCAAAAUUUCACUUUUAAAAUCAUCGUAACAUCUAAAUACAACCUAAGCACACUUGUAAACUGAUGCCGAACAGGCACUUGGAGAGCCCUCCCUGCACCCCUUCCUCGCCCCCUCCUUUGUGCAAAUGCUGUUUGCCCAGAACUUCAGCCACUGAAAAUCCUGGGAACUUUCUCUUCCUGGCUGCCAACCUAGCAGUUUGGACUCACAGACGAGAUUUUUAAAUCACUGAGGGAUUUAAGCCUCUCUGUGUCACAGAAAAGCGAACACCCUCCCAGUUGAAGGUGGCCCCAAAGAUGCGGGCCUGGGACCCAGGACUUCUGCAGGAGAGUGGACGCCUGGGUGCCCCCCGCCUUGCCCUGCACAUGGUAGGUGCUCAAUAAUUACACAAUAAAUAUUCACACAAAGCAGUGAUUCUGCCGAAGAGAUCCACUGCAAUGCACCUGGCUUCCUAGAAGCAAUAAAUGAAAAGCUUUUCUAUUUUUUUAAGAAAAGAAAAGAUUAAUGAAGCCCUGACGUAGAGGCAGAGAGCUCAACAGAAUCCAGUGACUCAAGGCGUGCGCAGAAGCAAUUUGCUUCUGAAACUCUAAACACCGUUCUUUAGUACUUCCUGACACUCCUCAGCAGCAAGCAAAUAAAUAUUUACAUGUGGAAGGAGACUGUCCUUUGAAAUGUAGGUUGUUCCAUUCAGAAGAGAAAUACGGCAAGGUGCCACUACUUUAGUGGCAACACGCGUUAUUAUUUAUGUUUUCCAGUUUGAAAAUCGUGCACUUUCUAUCAGGACCCUUAAAUGGUAAACACUGAUUCCCACGUGAAGCGAAUUAGUCCAGCAGCCACCCCCCCCUUGGUGGUUCAGGGACAACAGCAUAAGCUUUGACAAAUCACCCUUUGUUUUAUGCUUUGAUUACCUGGUGAGCUAAAAACAAUGAUAGUAAAAGCCUGGACCUGCCAUGUAUUCAGUCUGCAUUUGUUACUCUCCCCUUUCUUCCAUUUAUGAGUUUGUUCCCAAAAGAUUUUUUUAAAAAAAUUCUGACUUGAGUAACUUUUCCUCUGAUCUGAUCUGUUGUCAAAUUAGUGGGUGGCAGGAGAAAGCCAGUCACAUGAUAUCAUCGUUUCCUAUUCAAACAGACGGCUUUUUUUUUUUCAGUAAAAAUACUCGACUGCAAGACUAUGAGUGUGCAGAUAAUUCUGCUGCUUACUCCGAUUGGAGGUGUCUCCAGGGAGUUUCCAAGCACAGGAAGCAUUCCUGCUCUGAGGUUUCGGAAGAACACUUUCAGCAGGAUUUUGGGUCACUGAAAUGAAAGUGAACUAUGCUCUGUACAAAUGUAUCAUGUUUAAUUCAGGAGAAAUUCAUGCAUUUCUUUGUUCUAUAAAUAUUUACUGGCAGCUCGUUUUGUAUAGGAGGCUGCCACCUCCCAAAAGCCCCCUGCUCCUCGAGUGGGUUGAGCCUGAAACCCCACAUCCACAGACGUGCCCAGCGGCCUUGGGUGCUCAACACAGGCUCGUUCAGAAUAACAGAGUACACCAGUCAUCAUAAGAAGAAAAAUUCACAUUUAAAGUUUGGAAAGCAACAGGACAAAGGUCUGUCUUCAGUGGUGCGUAGACAUGCUCGUGAUUGAAUUGGAAAUAGUUCUCUUUCCUUCUCUCUGACUUCCUAACUGAAAAGCUGCAGCGUGGGGAGAAAGGCUGCUCAGAAGCCUGGAGCCAGAACACGCACCCCGGCUUUUGCAGGGCCGGCUCACUUGGUUAGAAUCAAAGGAAAAGCCUUGUUAUUUGGGAAGCUGGGCGUCCUCACCAAAUUAGGGGAUUUAAUUUGCAGAUAUCUAAGGAGUGCUUUGAAAUGAAAGAUGAACUAAAAUCUGCUCUGAGGCCCGUGAUUUUUCACCAGUGAAGGACUCUCUUGCUGCUGGACAUACAUGAAAAGCAUCAUCUGAUCUGAAACGCAAGUCCCUGCAAGACAGAGGAGAGACUUUAUAAACAUUUUAUACCAUUCUAUGAAAUCAAUUCGAUUCAGGGCUAGAAUUCAAGAAGUAAUCCAUGGGCAAGUAUAUCUGAUGGUAAACCCAAACGAUUAUAUUGUUAACCUCUUGUACUUUUUUUAAUUUUUUAUUAUUUGAUAUUAUUAUCACAAAAGUCGCUGGAACAGGAUCCAUGAGCUGCUUCUUCACUGCUUAGUGUUUUCAGAAGCUGAUGGAUUAUUAAGCUCCAAUUGAAUACUUGAUUUCCAAUGAUUCCAUUAAUUUUUCUGGUUUGUGGUAGGAUUUGAUUUACUUAUUUUGUACUUUAACACACCAAUAAAAAAUAGAUACUAAGAAAUAGUGAAAUUUGUUGCUUCAAAAUAACCCUUAAAAUUUAGAGUUUAGUGAAAUUAAGCAAUUCAAAUAGAGAAACGAUUAUCCUUCAUUUCCUUAAGGCACAGAAAUUGAGACUAGGUUCAAGAACCUUCAUAUUUUAAAAACUGGAAAAUACUGGCUAAGUGAGGACUGGGCGGUCAUCCUCCACACAUGCUCUGUGUGCUUGGAGCGAAG